CUCACCAACCAGUUGUUGCAUACACUUGAAUCAUUAAACCUUAAACAUAUACCAAUGUAACCAAACAUAUCUACACAACACAUAACCACCAUGACCACACUGCACCACCGGCGGAUCCACCUCCUCUUCCACCUCUCCAUCGUGGCAGUCCUCACGCUUGGGGCGGCUUGAGUCAUUGUAGAUAGCUCUCGGAACAGCCACAGCAUGUGGCCGAGCAGCUCGAUGCUGCUGGAGUGGACAACUGGCCGUGGAUAUACGACUGCAGUUCCGAUCAAUGUAUCCGUGGAUGAGGAAAUUGAAGAGGGGUGCAAUGUGUUCCAAGGCAGCUGGAUUCGGGAUAAUGAGAGUCUUCCUCUCUAUGGAGAAGAAGAUUGUUCGUUUCUGGUGAAACAGACAACUUGCGUCAGGAAUGGAAGAUCCGAUUCCUUUUAUCAUAACUGGAGGUGGCAGCCUGACGCGUGUGAUUUGCCAAGGUUGAUGGUAUGAAGUCAAUGGAGAUGUUGAGAAACAAAAGAUUGAUGUUUGUUGGAGAUUCAGUGCAAAGAGGCAUGUUUGAGUCCAUGAUUUGUUUAGUACACUCUGCACUUCCUCGAGUUGUAAGGAGAUCCCUCCAUCGCAUACCUCCGAGGAAAGUUUUCCAGAGUCGAGGAAUUCAAUGCAUCCAUCGAGUACUAUUGGGCGGCUUUGGUAAUCGAGUCGAUAUCAGACCAUGCAACGAACCACACGGUGAUGAAACGACUAGUGAAGCUCGAUUCCGUAGCUAAGCAUAGCAAGGAGUGGGAAGGAGCUGAUGUUUUGAUUUUCUCGAGUUAUAUAUGGUGGAUGUACAAACCUACAAUCAAUGCCACGUCGUGACGUCAUUUAUAUGCAGUUUUUUUUGGGGUUCAACAUUAUGAGUAGCAAUUAUGGUUUUACAGGUACGGAUCUCUGGAUACAACGUGACAACGGCAUAUAGGUUAUAGCAAUGGAAACGUGGGCGAACUGGGUUGAUUCGCGCAUCAAUCCAGAAACCCAGAAGAUCUUCUUCUUCGCAACAUAUGGAGUUGGGAGUGGAAGCCCGGGACAGAUGGGAAGUGCUUCAACGAGACACACCCGAUUGAAGGACCGUACUGGUUCGAACCUUGACAUCAUGUAGUCGGGAGAGUAAAGGUUAAUGUUACUGUUUUGAAGAUCACCCAGUUGUCUGAAUACAGAAAAGACGGCCAUCCAUCCUUCGAUUUUCGGGGAAAGAAAGGGCAAGCUCUUAACGAAAGAACAGAGAUCCGAUCCCAAGAAUUAUGCAGAUUGCAUACAUUGGUGCUUACCCGAUACUUGGAACCACAUUUUCUACGCGCUUCUUUUACAAGAUUAUCGCGACCAAUCAAUAAUAUGACAAACUAGAAUGAUGUGAUGUGAUGUUAUGUAUUACCUUUUUUGUCCGCCGGGAAACCACUGCCUCCCUCCGGCGGAGAAGGAAUCAUCAGUAGCAAAUACAUCCACAGCCUAAUAGAGACGUCAUUGAAAAAAUGGGGAAAAAAAACUAAAAAGAAAAACGAGGAAGAAGUAUCGGCAGUGGCUGAAGCCGGGUAGAGACUAGAGUAGAGGCCAUAUCCCGCCUUAAAGAAAUGGCAAUUGGUGGUCAGCUUGUUAGAGGGAGGGCCUAAACUGGAAAUUUGAGUGUAUGUAUGUCUCUCAACUAAGCUUGUUAAUAUUUUCAUUGUCACACUGCCAUCAAUUCAUGAUACGGGGUUUUAUUCAUAUUUAAAACUAGACUAGACUUACUUGACAAUCGCUUAUUCACCCUCCUUCUCUGUCAUUUAUUUCAUAUGGCUGUAUGUAUGUAUAUGUCAUACUCCCAACUCAGUGAAGUCGGAAUGAG
This is a long non-coding RNA of Salvia splendens (bonfire salvia), 1858 nucleotides long. RefSeq lists it as uncharacterized. Lineage: Eukaryota; Viridiplantae; Streptophyta; Magnoliopsida; Lamiales; Lamiaceae. The transcript is spliced from 4 exons. The record is from RefSeq and is a predicted model, not a curated record.